CCUACGGGAGGCAGCAGUGGGGGAUAUUGCACAAUGGGGGAAACCCUGAUGCAGCGACGCCGCGUGUGGGAAGACGGUCCUCUGGAUGGUAAACCACUGUCGCCAGGGACGAAGAUGCGGGUACCUGCGGAGGAAGCUCCGCCAACCUACGUGCAAGCAGCGGAGGUAAUACGUGGGGGGCGACGGUUGUCCGGAAUUACGGGGGGUAAGGGUGGGGUAGGCGGGGAUGAAAGUUGGUGGGAAAAACUACCGGCCCAACUGGGGGUCGCACGGAAAACUGCAGCUCUUGAGUGAAGGAGAGGCAGGCGGAAUUCCUAGUGUAGCGGUGAAAUGCGUAGAUAUUAGGAGGAACACCAGUGGCGAAGGCGGCCUGCUGGGCUUUUACUGACGCUGAGGCUCGAAAGUGUGGGGAGCGAACAGGAUUAGAUACCCGAGUAGUC
RNAcentral lists this ribosomal RNA (440 nucleotides) under uncultured bacterium. RNAcentral's name for it is "partial 16S ribosomal RNA". It matches the Rfam family "Bacterial small subunit ribosomal RNA", at positions 338 to 795 of the family's 1533-position model. The record is from RNAcentral.